Aegilops tauschii subsp. strangulata is the source of this 3165-nucleotide non-coding RNA. The record is from RefSeq and is a predicted model, not a curated record. NCBI's taxonomy places the organism in Eukaryota, Viridiplantae, Streptophyta, Magnoliopsida, Poales, Poaceae.
CUUUUUUUUAGGAAAACUCUUUACUUUCCAAGUAUAUACUGUAAGAUAUUUUUAUUUGGGUUAGCCUGAAGCUUUUAUGUCACCUGUACGUGUGUUGAACUUUUUUUUGCAUGCCAAAGCUCUUUGUACGUGUCAAAGAUGGAUUGUACCCAAUAAAUGUUCUACGUAACUUUUUUUCAUCUUUUUAUCUCGGCCGUUAUAAUUAGAAUCAAUGGAUAAUAAUUUUUUAGCAUACGUGGACGAACGUGAUGGCUUGUUUGACUCUUAUUUUAAUUAUAUACUAGCAAAAAAGCCCGUGCGUUGCAACGGGAGAAAAAAAUACCUCACACCCUAGCCCAAUAAAUUUAAUUAGUGAUGUUACAAUAAUUUAUAUACCAGGAAAGAUGUAAUCAAAAGGAUAAUUUAUAAACUGCUAUUGAUCUCGCAAGAAAAGAAUAAUUUAUAAGUCGGAUGUGAAACAUAUUUUUUGAGUUCGCCGUGUGUGCCAUAACCCCCUCCCAGUUGGCGUGCGGGGCGAAACAGACGCAAGAAAGAUGCAUUGUUGUCGCACUCUCUCUACUCUUCAUUCCUCCUCUCUGUUCCCUAUCACACCAACGACAUCGACGACAACCAGAUUUGAGGUAUAUGUUGAUGGUCAGCAAGUACCAGCAAUGGUGAGCCAGGAAAACUUAAUCCGGGGGCCAACUAAUGUUAAAUCACGUUGAGGAGGGCCAAAGUCAACAAAAUCACCGUAAAACACAAUAUUAGCAGCAGGUAAUCACUCAUUUAGUGGAAAAAUCUACAUGUUGGCCUCGGCCGGGGCCCCUGCUGGCACCCCCUGCCUCCGCCAUUGAGUACCCAUGAGCCCCAAAUAUCUUCUCCCUUAAAAAUGGUAUUUCUUUCCAAUGUUUCACUCACUUUUAAUUAGUCUAUCUGAUAAUGUAUUUGUAAGGAAUGGUUGGCAUGAAUAUGAAACUAUGAUAGUAACAACAGACAACAAGAAAUAAUUAUAAUUGAUGCUCAUCUGAAAAACAGUGCUAGCACGCAUAGCAUCCAGCCAUGGUUUUGUAGGUUUUAUGUUUCAUUUUGAAUAAAUUACCACCCUUGAAUGAAAUGAGUGAAUUUUGGAAUUUUUCGGAAGACCUCAGGCGAAAUGGACAAUCCAAAAUUUGAAUUUUUGGACAAAACAAUGGGCGAAAUAUGAACGAAAAACUACCAAAAUUGUACAAAUGUUUUGAAUCCUGCAGCAAUGAAAUAAAGCAGAAUCACACUGAAUAACACCGAUCCCUUGAUUGAUAUACGCCCAGGAAUAGGUCAAAACAAUACAAAAUAGCACAGUACUUACAUCCAUGUGUCACCAGCCGCUCGGAUGGGCACGUCUGCAUCCAGCAGCUUCCAGUCCACAGUUGAUUAAUAAAAAGGAAAAAAAAGCAACAGGCACCAAAUAUCCACCGAUGUCACCGCCCACUGCGUGCCUUCUUAUCCACAACACAUCGCCAUUCCUCAUCACCCAAGCGCCGUUCCGCCUCCAUCUUCCUCCUGCUGCCUGACCACGCAUCGUUGCUCCUCCUCUUCCUCUCCUCUUCUCCAUCCACCUCACCACCCAAGUGUUGCUCUCCUGUUCUUGGCCGCGGUGGCUGGCCAGAGCCACAUCCCAGCUGCCAGCAUCGGUGUGCUUUCUGGCUACGGCUGGGGCGGCGGUGGCCUGCUCGUCGGCGCACUGGGGCCAAGGCGGAGCCUCCUCCCGUGCAGUGCUGGUGGUGGAGCCCCUCCUCCCGGAGGGUGGCUGGGGCAACCGGGGUUGCGGGGCAGGUGUGCAAUUGGCUCGGUUGCGCCAGAUCUGGCGGCCGGCCAGCACACACGGGGGCGGUCUGGUGGUGCUGCUCUUCUGCCGGUGGCCACGGAUGUGGGAGUGCCGAAGCUACCUCCGGUGAAAGCCCCCAGGCCCUGGUUUUCUCUUCCAUGAGCUGGUCUCUGUACCACGAAUCAAUAUGGGCAUCAAUUUUCUCUGUAUCUUCAGUUCGUCUCUCUCUCUCUCUCUCUCUCUCUCUCUCUCUCCUUCUUUAGGAUUAUUAUCUCAAAUGGCAAUUAAGCUGAGAUCUUUUUUUCUAUUAUAUUAGGCUUGUCACCCAUGGUGCUUUUCUUUGGAUUCAUGCGCCUCUCCUCUCUGCUCAUUUUCGAUUGGUGACGCAUAUAAUACAUGCGGCAGGUCGCUUUCUUUAUUUCUCUAGGAGCAGAGUGGGACUAUUAAUUGGCAGGCACAAGACUUGGUUCGUAAGGCAGGGAGAGCUGGUGAGGGUUGGGCCGCGCUGGGGAGAGGAGGGGCUGAAGCGGAACGGUGGUGCCGGUUGAUGCGAUCGCCGGCGUCCGCCGGACAGCGCGGCAGCGGAUUGAGGGUCGCGUGGGUCACGAGCCUCCUGGCGGCUGGGAUCUGGAGGCGAGGGAGAGAAAGAGUCCGUCCUCAUGUCUGUUCAUGUUUUUUUACAAUCCAGGGCAAAACCUUUUCUCACUUUAAAAAAGGAGUGCGGGUUGAAUUACCUAAAAGAUAAGGGCUUUUCUGCAAAACUGCCACAAACGCCGGACGCCUAGAAACCCAAUUCUCUUAUUUAUUAUAUAUAAUUUAAUUAAUUAAUUAAUUUAAUUAUAUAAUAGAUUGGUGAUACUCGCCUAAGCUUAUAUGCUGCUCCCUCCGUUCCUAAAUACUUGUCUUUUUAGGCAUUUCAACAAGUGACUACAUACGGAAUAAAAUGAGUGAAUCUACACUUUAAAAUAUGUCUACAUUCCAUAUGUGAUAGUCAUUUAAAAUGGCUAGAAAGACAAGUAUUUAGGAACGGAGGGAGUAAUUGCUUGUGCACAAUAUGCCCAUCCUGCUUACAUACUAUUUUUAGCACCGCAAAGGAUGUCAGAUGAUACAUAUUUUGUCGUGUUAUUUGCCUUGUGUUGGUUGAUAAUAUUAAUUCUUCAAUUCUUCUGUGGAUCAGGUCGACGAUAUCCUUUUGGAUAUCUUCAUAGAAGAAACGAAAUCAUGAUAUCCGGGGAAGGCAAGGGAAAAUAGUGUAUGUUGUUUUUUUAUUUUGAAGAACAUGUCUUAGCCCUUUGAUUCAAAAUGUCAGAUGUAGAUGUGGUUCUGUGACCUACUACAAAUACUUCAUCCAUAUUCUGCUUAUAUAGAACUGCCUUGAUUCA